Molecule: ribosomal RNA, 700 nt
Filed under: Paenibacillus ottowii
Lineage: Bacteria; Bacillati; Bacillota; Bacilli; Caryophanales; Paenibacillaceae
Description: partial 23S ribosomal RNA
Rfam family: Bacterial large subunit ribosomal RNA
Source: RNAcentral
GGUUAAGCUACAAAGAGCACACGGAGGAUGCCUAGGCGCCAGGAGCCGACGAAGGACGUGGCGAACAACGAUAAGGCCUCGGGGAGCUGUAAGCAAGCUUUGAUCCGGGGAUGUCCGAAUGGGGAAACCCGGCUGUCUUCAUCGACAGUCACUUUCUGCUGAAUACAUAGGCAGAAGAGAGGCACACCAGGGGAACUGAAACAUCUAAGUACCCUGAGGAAGAGAAAACAAUAGUGAUUCCGUCAGUAGCGGCGAGCGAACGCGGAUUAGCCCAAACCAAGGAGCUUGCUCCUUGGGGUUGUGGGACGUCUCACAUGGAGUUACAAAGGAACCGGUUAGAUGAAGAGGUCUGGAAAGGCCCGCCAGAGAAGGUAAAAGCCCUGUAGUUCAAAACUCGUUCCCUCCGAGACGGAUCCCGAGUAGUGCGGGGCACGUGAAACCCCGUAUGAAUCCGGCAGGACCAUCUGCCAAGGCUAAAUACUCCCUGGCGACCGAUAGUGAAGCAGUACCGUGAGGGAAAGGUGAAAAGCACCCCGGAAGGGGAGUGAAAUAGAUCCUGAAACCGUGUGCUUACAAGAAGUCAGAGCCCGAUCUAUGGGUGAUGGCGUGCCUUUUGUAGAAUGAACCGGCGAGUUACGUUCCCGUGCAAGGUUAAGGUGAAGAGCUGAAGCCGCAGCGAAAGCGAGUCUGAAUAGGGCGA